Molecule: long non-coding RNA, 900 nt
Organism: Harpia harpyja (harpy eagle)
Lineage: Eukaryota; Metazoa; Chordata; Aves; Accipitriformes; Accipitridae
Exons: 3
Source: RefSeq, a predicted model, not a curated record
UCAUGUUACAGGCUUAGCUGUCAAGAGAAUGGGGAAAGCAUUUUGCUAAAACCAAUGUCUUCACAUCAGAAAAAUGGCAGGAUGAACAUGAUUAUGCAGGUUUUGGAUGAGAAAUAGCUGGGCAAAACUGAAGUGAUGCUGGUUGGUGAACUGAAAUAAAAAGUUGGUUGAAUAUCAUCUCAGCCUCUCCAUUGAAGCAAAGACUGCUCCUUCAUGCUCAGCUCCAGUUUUCAGGGCACUGGUAUGUCCAGCUGGCCCGUGUUUCCAGACUCAGUAACAAGUCAGAAGAAGCGGUGGAAGCACUCGUCUGGUUCUGCCUCUGCUGAUAAAGGACCUUGGCAGUGAUGGGUUUUGGGUGGCACUUAAGGUUAGCGCUCCAGCUAAUGUUUGUGCGUCCAGGUAAACUGAGGUUCAUCACAUCAAAUGUAAGUAGGUCCACUGCCUUAUUAGAGCAACAGGCCCAUAUUCCUCCCUAGCUCAGUUGCUGGAGCCAUUUUUUUUUUGUCAAGAAAGACUGGAUGGGGAAGGAGAGGACUGUAUGUGAAGUGGUAGAGAGGACAUGCCUGUCUGUGCAUCACAAAAAUCAGUUAUAGAGCUGUAUAACCUGAAAGAUGCAGCAAACACUUGAGUCCUCCUCUCUGUUCCCACCUAGGUCUUACACAAUAGGGUUGAUGUAGUGUAGAGUGGGUAUAAGAAAAUUGAGUAGUAGGAAUAAGAGUUAACUGUCUCAUGAUGUGGGUAUAAACAGAUUAAAUACAAUUUUAAGUACGUACUCCAAAUACUGCGCUUACAUAGCAAGACGCUCUUUGAGUUUUGAAAGACGAGAAUGUUUCCCCAUAGACACAAGACAUAUCACCCUCAGAAACCUGAUUUAUACCUAGGCUGGAUAAGCCUGUGGAC